This 253-nucleotide ribosomal RNA is filed under the name uncultured bacterium. RNAcentral describes it as "partial 16S ribosomal RNA". It matches the Rfam family "Bacterial small subunit ribosomal RNA", at positions 524 to 776 of the family's 1533-position model. The record is from RNAcentral.
UACGUAGGGGGCUAGCGUUGCUCGGAAUCACUGGGCGUAAAGGGUGCGUAGGCGGGUUUUUAAGUCAGAGGUGAAAUCCUGGAGCUCAACUCCAGAACUGCCUUUGAUACUGAAGAUCUUGAGUUCGGGAGAGGUGAGUGGAACUGCGAGUGUAGAGGUGAAAUUCGUAGAUAUUCGCAAGAACACCAGUGGCGAAGGCGGCUCACUGGCCCGAUACUGACGCUGAUGCACGAAAGCGUGGGGAGCAAACAGG